GUCUACGGCCAUGCCACCCUUAACACGCCUGAUCCUGUCUGAUCUCGGAAGCUAAGCAGGGUCAGGACUGAUUAGUACUUGGAUGAGAGACCACCUAGGAAGACCAGGUGCUGUAGGCA
RNAcentral lists this ribosomal RNA (119 nucleotides) under Pteropus alecto (black flying fox). The record is from RNAcentral. Lineage: Eukaryota; Metazoa; Chordata; Mammalia; Chiroptera; Pteropodidae. RNAcentral also lists the same sequence under 1 other name.